RNAcentral lists this ribosomal RNA (253 nucleotides) under uncultured bacterium. RNAcentral's name for it is "partial 16S ribosomal RNA". It matches the Rfam family "Bacterial small subunit ribosomal RNA", at positions 524 to 776 of the family's 1533-position model. The record is from RNAcentral.
UACGGAGGGUGCUAGCGUUGUUCGGAAUUACUGGGCGUAAAGCGCGUGUAGGCGGGUCCUUAAGUCGGGGGUGAAAGACCGGGGCUCAACCUCGGAACGGCCUUCGAUACUGAGGACCUGGAGUCUGGGAGAGGUGAGCGGAAUUCCGGGUGUAGAGGUGAAAUUCGUAGAUAUUCGGAGGAACACCAGAGGCGAAGGCGGCUCACUGGACCAGUACUGACGCUGAGACGCGAAAGCGUGGGGAGCAAACAGG